Molecule: ribosomal RNA, 253 nt
Filed under: uncultured bacterium
Lineage: Bacteria
Description: partial 16S ribosomal RNA
Rfam family: Bacterial small subunit ribosomal RNA
Source: RNAcentral
UACGGAGGGUGCAAGCGUUACCCGGAUUUACUGGGUUUAAAGGGUGCGUAGGCGGGCAUGUAAGUCAGUGGUGAAAUACCGGAGCUUAACUUCGGAACUGCCAUUGAUACUAUAUGUCUUGAAUAUUGUGGAGGUAAGCGGAAUAUGUCAUGUAGCGGUGAAAUGCAUAGAUAUGACAUAGAACACCGAUUGCGGAGGCAGCUUGCUACACAAAUAUUGACGCUGAGGCACGAAAGCGUGGGGAUCAAACAGG